UGGUCUGUAGCUCAGUUGCUUACAGCACACGCAUGAUCAGCGUGGGGUAAAAAGUUCAAGGCUUGUCAGACCGACAA
RNAcentral lists this transfer RNA (77 nucleotides) under Acinetobacter baumannii. RNAcentral describes it as "tRNA-Ile". Lineage: Bacteria; Pseudomonadati; Pseudomonadota; Gammaproteobacteria; Moraxellales; Moraxellaceae. The record is from RNAcentral.